Beta vulgaris subsp. vulgaris (sugar beet) is the source of this 1364-nucleotide long non-coding RNA. RefSeq lists it as uncharacterized. The transcript has 3 exons. Lineage: Eukaryota; Viridiplantae; Streptophyta; Magnoliopsida; Caryophyllales; Amaranthaceae. The record is from RefSeq and is a predicted model, not a curated record.
UUUUGUUAAAAAGAAAAAAAACAAUGUAAGUGUUUCCCAAUAAAAAUGAAUCUUUUUAUUUAAAUAAAACAUAAUUCUACUUUACCUUAAUUCCCGUGUAAAAACAGAAUCAGGACUUAUAUUAUGGGACGAAGGGAGUAUAUUUAAAGCAAUGUAUUUAUAUCUUAUAUACAGCAAGGGUUGCAUAUACCAUAACCCUAAAAAAAAUGUAUAAGAGAAUCCAUCCAAAUUAUGUGAAGUAUGUCCCACCAUUCUUUCUUCCCCCCAACUUUAGAAAUUAUGCUCGAUUUUCUCCAUGAAAGCUCAAAGGCUAACCGUUAAAGCUUCAACAACGUAUUGUCAACUCUUUCUUAAAUCCCAAAAUCACAAAAUCUAGUUGACGGAUUUGAAUUCUUCGGCACUUGAUAUCUAAGGAACUUGUUGCCCAAUUACUUCGAACAAAGGUAGAAGUUAUGCUAAUCAAGUCGAGCAGCUUGCGAGCAACUCGAGCUUGACUCAGUCAACGCUCGGUCAAAGCUCGAUUUGAGUUGGCUUUGCUCGAACUCGAUUUGAAACCUUAACGAGCACGAGUCGAGCAUGUUGGUCUACUUGGUACACUCAACAUAAUGGGUGGUAGGGAAGUUGAUGACAGAGACCUUGCACCAUUGCAGCACCAUCCUCAGGUAAUAUGAGGCCUAGAUAAAAGGUUUUAUAGAGGGAUUCCAAUAUUAGGUAUUGCUUUAUUGUGUCUGUGUGCGCACGUGCGAGUAUUUUGUGUAUGUGUGUGUGGAGAUGUACUAGUAUAUUUAUAAUGUAAGAAUAUAAUAACAAAGAUUGUAAAUGAAAUCUCUAGUGUUUUAACUACGUAAUUUAUCUUCAUGGUGUAUAGUUAACCACAUGCACUCUUCAUCCUAGUCGACCUGCAGCUCAUAGCUAACAAUAUAAGAAUGAUGUGGAUUGGACUCUUGCAUCAGUGGAGGUAUAAUCCAAAAGAAGGCUUUGUUUCCAAGUUUUGAAAAUAUCAUUUUCAUGAAUCGGGUGCGUCGAUUUGGCUGCAUUAACAUAAACAUCCUGGGACUUAUUGGAAAUCACUAUAUAGUCCUCCUUAUGCAUGAUCGUGCUCCGUUGCCUACAUAUUCUUGGAUGGAAUAGAUAUUGUGACCUUGAGAUUCGUUUUUGGAGAAUAAAUUUGCAGGAACGGGUUGAUCAAUUGAAAAUUUUAGAUAGAACAAAAAUAUUUAUAUGUUUUAUUUCUUAUAGCAUGGUUUAAUUAGUAGGAUUUCAUUUUCUUUCCUAGCUACUCCACUUAUGCGUUUUAAGUUUGUAUUAUCCCUCUAUAUAGUUUAUUGCAAUUGAAUAUAUAAUAAUAUCUCAUGUUUUGCCUU